CUCGCUCCCGGCGCCGCCCCCUGCUUCCACCCAACGCCGGUACCGCCCCUGCAUCCACUCGCCACCGGCGCCGCCAUCACUCCUCGCUUCCCCCCUCACCCACUUCCUCCCUCGCUCCUGGCGCCGCCCCCAGCUUCCACCCAACACCGGCGCCGCCCCUGCUUCCACCCGCCAAUGGCGCCGCCCUCACUCCCUGCUCCCCCCCGCCAUCGGCGUGCCUCCCUGCUUCCAAGCGCCACCGUUGCCACCCUGCGUCCAGCCGUCGCCGUCGGGAGCCACCCUAGCGCCACCAAUCGCCGCGACCAGCCGUCCCUACCACCGUCUUGGCGACCCCCACCCCCGCAGCGGACCGUCGCAUCCGCGUCGCUGCAUCCCGCGACCACUGCGCACCGUCCAACUCGGCAGUCCAACUUCUUGCUCCAUGCUCGGUCGCUCAAGGAGCUGCGUGAAGGUCACCCCGCGCUCCACCUUCCGGACAUGGGAUCCCGUCGCCAUGCUCCUGCAGCCACCUCCGGGGCAGUGUGCUCGGCCUCCUCUCUCCUCCUGCCACCUCCUAGCGCCAUGCCGAGCACACCUCGGGCUGCCUCUUCCUCUUGCUUACUCCCGCACGAGGCACGCUGCGACGAGCACGCACCCGGCCGCCCCCACCUCCGGUAAAUCGAUGCACUCAGUUCAGUUUGUUUUUUCAAUUCAGCUCAAUUCUAAAAAAAAGUUCUCUCCAUCUCUGUAGCUUGCGUGAACUUAUAGCUGAGACGCGAUGAACUCUAUCCAUUUCGACUCUUGAACUGAUAGCUGAUGAUUUUAUGAACUAGUAAAAAUGUUUUUGUUUCAUCUUUGACUCUUGUUCUCUGUUCUUUCACUCUCAAAAUUACGUGCAUGUGCAGAUGCUACCUGCUGAUUGCUACUUGACACAACCAUUUUUGUCUUGAUUUUGCAAUUGUAUGACACGAAUUUGCUAUGAGAAAAAACAAGGACAAACAGAAAACAAAAAUUAGUACCUUUGUGCUUGCUAGGUGUUUGUUUAUGUCUCUUAAGAACCAAACAAAACUAGUAACAUCCCUACAUAGGGCCGUGAGUAUACUUUUAAGUUAGUUGAUAUGUCUGUAGGACAAAAAUGAAAAAAAAGCAUCCUUUUCAGUGCACCUUCGUAUGCAUUUUCAGUUCAUUUUACAGGUCAAGGACAAGUAAAUUUAGUGGCAUUGCUAAAAUCACAGAAUAGUUGGUGCGUGUGCAGAAAUAUCAUCGGUGCAAGUUUCAAAAUUCUGUAACUUUAGAUAUAUCACCUAAAUAUGUAAUUAUUUGCAGCAAAUUUCUUCAAAAUUCUGUAAAGUUUAGAUAUAUCACCUAAAUAUCAUCAGUGCAAGUUUCAAAAUUCUGUAAUUUAGAUAUGUCGUAAAGAAAAAAUGAUGAGUCACCAUCUGCUUUAUAUUCAUGUUCUCUGCAGCAAAAGUAGCAAUGGGACUAACUGGGAGUGAUCCCUAAACCAUUUCAUUAAAGGACAUGGUUUCCAACAAUGCUAAUGCUACUAGAAAUCAGCUAGAGGCCAUGAAGCUUCUUGGCUUCUCCAAUUAGGAUGUUUGGCCAGUCCUGAAGCACCUCCUCAAGCUCUUCGACAAUAACUGGGCGCCCAUCUCCUGCUCAGUAUGACAAGGAUGCCAGUGAUAAUGAACACCCCCCUCACAGCAAAGAGGCGGAGUGCAUACUUGCCAUCUACAUUUCAGAGCCCCAUCAGUUCAGUGUGAUCUCUCCCGUCCAGAUGGAAGGAGAUCCGUUCAAAGUGUGAGUUUUGCAACGUCGACAUGCAAGUUCUACAAUUUAUCCAUCCAGAUGGGAGAAGGAGAUCAGUCCAACCGAUGCAUCUGAAGCGAAAUAUGCAGAGCCAUUCACCCGAGAGCCAAAUCCUGGCAUGCCCAGCCGGUGCUCGUGAACCCCGCCUCUAUCAACUCCACUUCACUAGAGCCGUCAGUCCACAGGAGUAGAGGUAGCGGAUCCCCUAUAGCGGCUGCUCGUGAACCCCGCCUCCAUCAGCUCCACUUCACCGAAGCCAUCAGUCCGC
Long non-coding RNA from Triticum aestivum (bread wheat), 2056 nucleotides. RefSeq lists it as uncharacterized. The record is from RefSeq and is a predicted model, not a curated record. Lineage: Eukaryota; Viridiplantae; Streptophyta; Magnoliopsida; Poales; Poaceae. The transcript is spliced from 3 exons.